This 1397-nucleotide ribosomal RNA is filed under the name metagenome. RNAcentral's name for it is "bacterial LSU rRNA". It matches the Rfam family "Bacterial large subunit ribosomal RNA", at positions 1532 to 2925 of the family's 2925-position model. The record is from RNAcentral.
GUAGGCAAAUCCGCCCGUCAUAUACCGAGGCCAACGAUCGAGCCAGCUUGCUGGUGAAGUGACUGAACGAGGUUCCAGGAAAAGCCACUAAGCUUCAGCUAUACACGACCGUACCGCAAACCGACACUGGUGCGCGAGAUGAGUAUUCUAAGGCGCUUGAGAGAACUCAGGAGAAGGAACUCGGCAAAUUGACACCGUAACUUCGGAAGAAGGUGUGCCCUAUUAGUGUGAAGUGAACAACGGAGCAUGAAUGGGUUGCAAAAAAUCGGUGGCUGCGACUGUUUAUUAAAAACACAGCACUCUGCAAACACGAAAGUGGACGUAUAGGGUGUGACGCCUGCCCGGUGCUGGAAGAUUAAAUGAUGGGGUGCAAGCUCUUGAUUGAAGUCCCAGUAAACGGCGGCCGUAACCAUAACGGUCCUAAGGUAGCGAAAUUCCUUGUCGGGUAAGUUCCGACCUGCACGAAUGGCGUAACGAUGGCCACACUGUCUCCUCCUGAGACUCAGCGAAGUUGAAAUGUUUGUGAUGAUGCAAUCUCCCCGCGGAAAGACGGAAAGACCCCAUGAACCUUUACUGUAGCUUUGUAUUGGACUUUGAACAGAUCUGUGUAGGAUAGGUGGGAGGCUUUGAAGCAGGGUCGCUAGAUCUUGUGGAGCCAACGUUGAAAUACCACCCUGGUGUGUUUGAGGUUCUAACCUAGGUCCAUUAUCUGGAUCGGGGACAGUGCAUGGUAGGCAGUUUGACUGGGGCGGUCUCCUCCCAAAGCGUAACGGAGGAGUUCGAAGGUACGCUAGUUACGGUCGGACAUCGUGACGAUAGUGCAAUGGCAUAAGCGUGCUUAACUGCGAGACUGACAAGUCGAGCAGAUGCGAAAGCAGGACAUAGUGAUCCGGUGGUUCUGUAUGGAAGGGCCAUCGCUCAACGGAUAAAAGGUACUCUGGGGAUAACAGGCUGAUACCGCCCAAGAGUUCAUAUCGACGGCGGUGUUUGGCACCUCGAUGUCGGCUCAUCUCAUCCUGGGGCUGUAGCCGGUCCCAAGGGUAUGGCUGUUCGCCAUUUAAAGAGGUACGUGAGCUGGGUUUAAAACGUCGUGAGACAGUUUGGUCCCUAUCUUCCGUGGGCGCUGCAGAUUUGAGGAAGCCUGCUCCUAGUACGAGAGGACCGGAGUGGACACACCUCUGGUGUAUCGGUUGUCACGCCAGUGGCAUUGCCGAGUAGCUAAGUGUGGAAGAGAUAACCGCUGAAAGCAUCUAAGCGGGAAACUCGUUUCAAGAUGAGAUCUGCCGGGGCCUUGAGCCCCCUGAAGAGUCGUUCAAGACCAGGACGUUGAUAGGUCAGGUGUGGAAGCGCAGUAAUGCGUUAAGCUAACUGAUACUAAUUGCUCGUGCGGCUUGACC